CCUUAUCAGUUCUCCGUCCAAC
Molecule: microRNA, 22 nt
Filed under: Gallus gallus (chicken)
Lineage: Eukaryota; Metazoa; Chordata; Aves; Galliformes; Phasianidae
Description: gga-miR-184b-5p
Gene: gga-miR-184b-5p
Source: miRBase by way of RNAcentral